UACGGGGGGGGCAAGCGUUGUUCGGAAUUACUGGGCGUAAAGGGCUCGUAGGUGGCCAACUAAGUCAGACGUGAAAUCCCCCGGCUUAACCAGGGAACUGCGUCUGAUACUGGAUGGCUUGAGAUUGGGAGAGGGAUGCGGAAUUCCAGGUGUAGCGGUGAAAUGCGUAGAUAUCUGGAGGAACACCGGUGGCGAAGGCGGCAUCCUGGACCAACACUGACACUGAGGAGCGAAAGCCAGGGGAGCAAACGGG
Molecule: ribosomal RNA, 253 nt
Filed under: uncultured bacterium
Lineage: Bacteria
Description: partial 16S ribosomal RNA
Rfam family: Bacterial small subunit ribosomal RNA
Source: RNAcentral